CGCCCCCCAGAGUGUCUGCGCUCACCGGCUUUCCCGUUAGCCUGUUCGCAAGCGUUGAGGAGCUUGGGAUGCCUGGCCGACUUGUUUACGACCUGUCAGCUUCACCCAGUGCUUCUGUACCCUGGAAGAUCGCAUUCCAUGGCAUCUGAAGAGACCCAGGAUGCAACGUGUAGGUGUGGCAGGUGGUACAACCAGUGAACUGCGUCACCACAGAUCUGACCUCACAGCUUCUAUGUUGCAAGAUAAACCUAAAUUAAAAUAAAUCCUGCAAAACAUG
Molecule: long non-coding RNA, 277 nt
Organism: Mastomys coucha (southern multimammate mouse)
Lineage: Eukaryota; Metazoa; Chordata; Mammalia; Rodentia; Muridae
Exons: 2
Source: RefSeq, a predicted model, not a curated record